This 340-nucleotide long non-coding RNA is filed under the name Dasypus novemcinctus (nine-banded armadillo). RNAcentral's name for it is "lncRNA (ENSDNOG00000050603.1)". Lineage: Eukaryota; Metazoa; Chordata; Mammalia; Cingulata; Dasypodidae. The record is from RNAcentral.
CCGGCCCCCACCUUGGCCCGCUUCGGGGGCACCCCGGGGCUCGGGGGUGCCCGCGUGCCCGCGUCCUCGCCUCUCGUGCCCCGGGCUUUCUGCAUGGCCUCUGCAGGCUGGGCUGGGGGGACGCUGCAACCUCGCGGCCACGGGGGCCCCCGGGGAGAUGCUGCCCUGAGAGGCCCCUGGUUCCCAGCCUCGCUGGGCACAGGGAGAGGAAGAGGAAAUGGUGAACACGCGUGACGUGCCGCGUGUCCAGAGGCCAGGGGGAUAGGCAGGCCGGGAGGCAGGCUCAAGUGGAGGUGAGUAGAGAGCUGGGGAAGAGGGACCAGUUGCCUCCCCCCACACC